Molecule: ribosomal RNA, 783 nt
Filed under: Vibrio ichthyoenteri
Lineage: Bacteria; Pseudomonadati; Pseudomonadota; Gammaproteobacteria; Vibrionales; Vibrionaceae
Description: bacterial SSU rRNA
Rfam family: Bacterial small subunit ribosomal RNA
Source: RNAcentral
GCUGACGAGCGGCGGACGGGUGAGUAAUGCCUGGGAAUAUGCCUUGAUGUGGGGGAUAACCAUUGGAAACGAUGGCUAAUACCGCAUAAUGCCUACGGGCCAAAGAGGGGGAUCUUCGGACCUCUCGCGUCAAGAUUAGCCCAGGUGGGAUUAGCUAGUUGGUGAGGUAAUGGCUCACCAAGGCGACGAUCCCUAGCUGGUCUGAGAGGAUGAUCAGCCACACUGGAACUGAGACACGGUCCAGACUCCUACGGGAGGCAGCAGUGGGGAAUAUUGCACAAUGGGCGCAAGCCUGAUGCAGCCAUGCCGCGUGUGUGAAGAAGGCCUUCGGGUUGUAAAGCACUUUCAGUCGUGAGGAAGGUAGUUGCGUUAAUAGCGUAAUUAUUUGACGUUAGCGACAGAAGAAGCACCGGCUAACUCCGUGCCAGCAGCCGCGGUAAUACGGAGGGUGCGAGCGUUAAUCGGAAUUACUGGGCGUAAAGCGCAUGCAGGUGGUUUGUUAAGUCAGAUGUGAAAGCCCGGGGCUCAACCUCGGAAUUGCAUUUGAAACUGGCAGACUAGAGUACUGUAGAGGGGGGUAGAAUUUCAGGUGUAGCGGUGAAAUGCGUAGAGAUCUGAAGGAAUACCGGUGGCGAAGGCGGCCCCCUGGACAGAUACUGACACUCAGAUGCGAAAGCGUGGGGAGCAAACAGGAUUAGAUACCCUGGUAGUCCACGCCGUAAACGAUGUCUACUUGGAGGUUGUGGCCUUGAGCCGUGGCUUUCGGAGCUAACGCGUUAAGUA